CGAAAGCGAGAAAGCGUUGCCAACGGCAACGACCCGAAGGGCGAAGCGCGCAGCGCUGAGUAAUCCUUCCCCCGUCAUCC
Molecule: small RNA, 80 nt
Filed under: Salmonella enterica subsp. enterica serovar Oranienburg
Lineage: Bacteria; Pseudomonadati; Pseudomonadota; Gammaproteobacteria; Enterobacterales; Enterobacteriaceae
Also listed under: 2 other names
Description: partial RtT sRNA
Rfam family: RtT RNA
About the family: This family represents a bacterial cis-regulatory element known as RtT RNA. The exact function of RtT is unknown although it is thought that it may be involved in changing the cellular response in relation to amino acid starvation.
Source: RNAcentral